UCAUUUCAACUGUUUCAAAUGGGGCAACAGCUGCCAGGCCUGCGAAGCCUCCUACUCGCUCCCUGGUCCGGUUCAUGAGGAAGGCGGGACAUCGAAGCAGAGCAUUUACACCCUAGGAGGCGAUGGGGGGACAGGCCAGGUUGGGGCCAGAGCCUCCUGGGAACAGGCAGCUUCAAACAAUGAGCUCGGCACCCCCAAAGCAAGUCAGAUUAUCACGUGUUCUUCACGUUCUCCAUGUUUUUGUUUCGGCUGCAUUAGAGAUCAUGUCUUCGGAUCUACUCUCCAUUUCACUAGUCCUUCCUCUAACGACAUCUAACCACAAUUAGAGCAAUCUGCUGAUUACUGAAUCUUUAUUGUUUUAAUUUUAUUAUUAAACCUUGAAGCUUUA
Molecule: long non-coding RNA, 388 nt
Organism: Artibeus jamaicensis (Jamaican fruit-eating bat)
Lineage: Eukaryota; Metazoa; Chordata; Mammalia; Chiroptera; Phyllostomidae
Exons: 2
Source: RefSeq, a predicted model, not a curated record